CCUACGGGUGGAUGCAGUGAGGAAUAUUGGUCAAUGGACGCAAGUCUGAACCAGCCAUGCCGCGUGCAGGAAGACGGCGCUAUGAGUUGUAAACUGCUGUUGUACGAGGGUAAACGCAGAUACGCGGAUCUGUCUGAAAGUAUCGUACGAAUAAGGAUCGGCUAACUCCGUGCCAGCAGCCGCUGUAAUACGGAGGAUUCAAGCGUUAUCCGGAUUUAUUUGGUUUCAAGGGUGCGUAGGCGGUCGGAUAAGUUAGAGGUGAAAUCCCGAGGCUCAACUUCGGAAUUGCCUCUGAUACUGUUCGGCUAGAGCGUAGUUGCGGUAGGCGGAAUGUCUGGUGUAGCGG
RNAcentral lists this ribosomal RNA (346 nucleotides) under uncultured bacterium. RNAcentral describes it as "partial 16S ribosomal RNA". It matches the Rfam family "Bacterial small subunit ribosomal RNA", at positions 338 to 681 of the family's 1533-position model. The record is from RNAcentral.